CGUACACUCCUACGGGAGGCAGCAGUGGGGAAUAUUGGACAAUGGGCGCAAGCCUGAUCCAGCCAUGCCGCGUGAGUGAUGAAGGCCCUAGGGUUGUAAAGCUCUUUCACCGGUGAAGAUAAUGACGGUAACCGGAGAAGAAGCCCCGGCUAACUUCGUGCCAGCAGCCGCGGUAAUACGAAGGGGGCUAGCGUUGUUCGGAUUUACUGGGCGUAAAGCGCACGUAGGCGGACUAUUAAGUCAGGGGUGAAAUCCCGGGGCUCAACCCCGGAACUGCCUUUGAUACUGGUAGUCUUGAGUUCGAGAGAGGUGAGUGGAAUUCCGAGUGUAGAGGUGAAAUUCGUAGAUAUUCGGAGGAACACCAGUGGCGAAGGCGGCUCACUGGCUCGAUACUGACGCUGAGGUGCGAAAGCGUGGGGAGCAAACAGGAUUAGAAACCCCGGUAGUCCCA
This 451-nucleotide ribosomal RNA is filed under the name uncultured organism. Its description in RNAcentral is "partial 16S ribosomal RNA". It matches the Rfam family "Bacterial small subunit ribosomal RNA", at positions 330 to 797 of the family's 1533-position model. The record is from RNAcentral.